RNAcentral lists this ribosomal RNA (433 nucleotides) under uncultured bacterium. RNAcentral's name for it is "partial 16S ribosomal RNA". It matches the Rfam family "Bacterial small subunit ribosomal RNA", at positions 29 to 507 of the family's 1533-position model. The record is from RNAcentral.
AACGAACGCUGGCGGCAUGCCUAACACAUGCAAGUCGAACGAGAACUUCGGGUCUAGUGGCGCACGGGUGCGUAACGCGUGGGAACCUGCCCUUAGGUUCGGAAUCACUCCCCGAAAGGGGUGCUAAUACCGGAUAAUGUCUUCGGACCAAAGAUUUAUCGCCUUUGGAUGGGCCCGCGUUGGAUUAGCUAGUUGGUAGGGUAAAAGCCUACCAAGGCGACGAUCCAUAGCUGGUCUGAGAGGAUGAUCAGCCACACUGGGACUGAGACACGGCCCAGACUCCUACGGGAGGCAGCAGUGGGGAAUAUUGGACAAUGGGCGAAAGCCUGAUCCAGCAAUGCCGCGUGAGUGAUGAAGGCCUUAGGGUUGUAAAGCUCUUUUACCCGGGAUGAUAAUGACAGUACCGGGAGAAUAAGCUCCGGCUAACUCCGUG